This 397-nucleotide ribosomal RNA is filed under the name uncultured bacterium. RNAcentral describes it as "bacterial SSU rRNA". It matches the Rfam family "Bacterial small subunit ribosomal RNA", at positions 361 to 775 of the family's 1533-position model. The record is from RNAcentral.
AUAUUGCACAAUGGGGGAAACCCUGAUGCAGCGACGCCGCGUGAGUGAAGAAGUAUUUCGGUAUGUAAAGCUCUAUCAGCAGGGAAGAAAAUGACGGUACCUGAGUAAGAAGCACCGGCUAACUACGUGCCAGCAGCCGCGGUAAUACGUAGGGGGCAAGCGUUAUCCGGAUUUACUGGGUGUAAAGGGAGCGUAGACGGUGAAGCAAGUCUGGAGUGAAAGCCCGGGGCUCAACCCCGGGACUGCUUUGGAAACUGUACGGCUGGAGUGCUGGAGAGGCAAGCGGAAUUCCUAGUGUAGCGGUGAAAUGCGUAGAUAUUAGGAGGAACACCAGUGGCGAAGGCGGCUUGCUGGACAGUAACUGACGUUGAGGCUCGAAAGCGUGGGGAGCAAACAG